CCUACGGGAGGCAGCAGUGGGGAAUAUUGGGCAAUGGGCGAGAGCCUGACCCAGCAACGCCGCGUGAAGGAAGAAGGCUUUCGGGUUGUAAACUUCUUUUGACCGGGAAGAGCAGAAGACGGUACCUGUCGAAUAAGCCACGGCUAACUACGUGCCAGCAGCCGCGGUAAUACGUAGGGGGCAAGCGUUGUCCGGAUUUACUGGGUGUAAAGGGGGCGCAGACGGCGAUGCAAGCCAGGAGUGAAAGCCCGGGGCCCAACCCCGGGACUGCUCUUGGAACUGCGUGGCUGGAGGGCAGGAGGAGCAGGCGGAAGUCCUGGUGUAGCGGUGAAAUGCGUAGAUAUCAGGAGGAACACCGGGUGCGAAGGCGGCCUGCUGGACUGCAACUGACGUUGAGGCCCGAAAGCGUGGGGAGCAAACAGGAUUAGAUACCCGAGUAGUC
Molecule: ribosomal RNA, 442 nt
Filed under: uncultured bacterium
Lineage: Bacteria
Description: partial 16S ribosomal RNA
Rfam family: Bacterial small subunit ribosomal RNA
Source: RNAcentral